AGCAUAUAUACUUCUGAGAAACUUCUCUAGUGCGAUACUGUGGUUGGUUUUUGUUGUAGCAGUUGUGGUAUAGCACAUAUAACUGCAGCGACUCUGCAACUCUACAACUUUUGACGGAUUUUCGCUUCCGAACGACCACUACUAUGGCAACUUCCCAAUCAACGGGUCCAUUUGGGCCGAGGGAAUAUACUUAUGAACAACUAGCAGAGGCAGCUCAUCACUUCUCCAACAAAUACCUCCUUGGCCAGGGUGGUUUUG
This 258-nucleotide unclassified non-coding RNA is filed under the name Hevea brasiliensis (rubber tree). Lineage: Eukaryota; Viridiplantae; Streptophyta; Magnoliopsida; Malpighiales; Euphorbiaceae. The record is from RNAcentral.